GGUGUCUAUAAAAAUUACACAUGGUGUAAGAAAAACAUUAUAACAUACACAUAAGUGUUUUAAGAUAAUCUGACAUACUUUAAAAGCAUAAGAAUAAAAGUUUUUUUUUUUUUUAAAAAUCAUGUUCUUUGAUGAUCACAUUACAUGUAUCACAUUUUUUAAAGCAUAACGUAGGGUGUUCACAAAAACAGUUUUAUGAUUACUUUUUCCACAGUGCUUGUAUGCCUCUUGCAAAACUAUGUACUUAUCACCAUAUGACAUAAUAACUCACGAUUAUGCAAGACCAGCCAUGAAAUGUCCGUCGCUUCAUUACAAUCAUUUGUCCCCGCUGCUGCCCUCAGACCCAGUCUGUGGGGUAAAAUUGCUUUUUUGGUGGUUCAUAAAAAAUAUCUCAAAAAGCGAUGUUAGUGAGGGGACCAGAAACACUGGGUUGCAGAGCAGUUGGUAAGGACUUGUAUAUUUCUGGAGAGUCUGCAAAAGCUGUCUUGCUCGUGCUCCUGAUUGGAUAUGUGGAGCCCGGCUCUGAUAUCUCACUGGUGGCAGCUAAAGGUAGGCAUGCCUUGGAGGCGGAGUUGGUCUCGGGCGCAAUCUUUCAAACGAGCCUCACGGCAUUUCAGGCAACCUCAGGCCGGAAACAACAUCCGGUCACUCGCGGUCAAAAUCCACGCAGAGCUGGUGUUUCGCAGGGAUCAGGUUAACACAGCUGGGUCUAAAAAUAUAAAGAAAAACAAAAAGAGUUUUAAAACACGCAAACUAGCAAAAUAUCAAAGGAGCAUAACAUAACAAUAACAAGAUGAUAUGAGAUACCUGAUGAGGCCAUGAUAGGUGAUGUAGACAUGUAAUGUAUAAACUUUUACGGGAGUUAAAAGUGGAGCUUAUAUAUAUUUUAAAGUGUAUUGUACGUGGGAUAGGCUCCAGCGCACCGCGCGAGCCUGAGAAAAGGAUAAGUGGAGGCGAAUGGAUGGAUGGAUGGUGUAUUGUACCUGUUACAAACCAUUGUGAUAUUUAUUUAUUUUUUUAAAUGAAAGGAUUGACAGAAUGGUAAAAAGGAAAAUGCAAAAAUGUAGUUAGAGAGGAAGAUUAACACUUACCGAAUGAUAUGCGGAUAAGGAAAGAGACGCAAGUUGCUGUUGAAAUCGGUCGCUCCCUAUGCGAACUCGCAAGCAGUCUGAGCGGUUCCAGUUGUUGAUACGUCUGAAGUCAGAUCUCUUCUGGGGUUCGAAGAUAGUCUUAACAUCAGCGGGAGAUCGUAAAAUCAGACCUGGAGCGGAUUGGCUAACCGGGGUGCGAAGGGAGCGGUGCAAGGGUUAUGUGAUUGGCAGCGGGGCGCAGUGAGGCGGAGUUGGUCUAAGGGGGGAAUUUUCAAACGAGGUAAGCAGCGCAUUCGGGAGCAGAGCGGGGAGCGAACAAGCAGGAAAAAAUUGUGCUCUGCAAGAAGUUGUGGAUCGGAGAUUAAGAGCGAGGUAGAACUUAGAGUGUGGGUUGAAUUUUAGAGCUUGCUAGUAAGAGGGAAGUUUUUGAAGGAAAAAAGAAUAAGGAUUUUCCCUGUUAUCGAAUAUAAGGUUUUUGGGAAUAGAGGGGUAGCUAACAAGUUAUUCUAGGGGUUUUGGAGAAAUCGCGGAGAAAUUUUUAAAAGGAGUUUUGGCUUUGUUUGGCUGAGCAUGAAGGGAGCCGCGGGGCGCUGAAUUUGAAAAAAAAGACUAAGGAUUUUUUCAGGAUUUUCCCUGUUAUCGAAUAUAAGGUUUUGGGAAUAGAGGGGGUACCCUAACAAGUUAUUGUAGGGUUUUGGAGAAAUAGCGGAGGGUUUUUUAAGGAGUUUUCCCUGCUUAUGUAUCUAAGGA
This is a long non-coding RNA of Astatotilapia calliptera (eastern happy), 1841 nucleotides long. NCBI's taxonomy places the organism in Eukaryota, Metazoa, Chordata, Actinopteri, Cichliformes, Cichlidae. The record is from Ensembl.